This 141-nucleotide unclassified non-coding RNA is filed under the name soil metagenome. RNAcentral describes it as "partial internal transcribed spacer 1". The record is from RNAcentral.
CCUAGAGUUGUAGGCUUUGCCUGCUAUCUCUUACCCAUGUCUUUUGAGUACCUUACGUUUCCUCGGCGGGUCCGCCCGCCGAUUGGACAAUUUAAAACCAUUUGCAGUUGCAAUCAGCGUCUGAAAAAACUUUAAUAGUUA